AUGCGCGGUUAGCUGCACGCUU
This 22-nucleotide unclassified non-coding RNA is filed under the name Chlamydomonas reinhardtii. RNAcentral's name for it is "small RNA Cre_0746". Lineage: Eukaryota; Viridiplantae; Chlorophyta; Chlorophyceae; Chlamydomonadales; Chlamydomonadaceae. The record is from RNAcentral.